Long non-coding RNA from Carlito syrichta (Philippine tarsier), 1268 nucleotides. RefSeq lists it as uncharacterized. The record is from RefSeq and is a predicted model, not a curated record. NCBI's taxonomy places the organism in Eukaryota, Metazoa, Chordata, Mammalia, Primates, Tarsiidae. The transcript is spliced from 2 exons.
GAAAAUAAUUUCCCUUUAUUAAUCUCCACAUUCAUGUCCCUGGAUCCUUCUGUACUUGUGAGGAAAAGGCAGAUGGGAAUUAGAUCUUAAAACAUAGAGGUAUGGAAAAGUCCACUACCAUUCCUUGCCUCGGCAGAGGUGGUGGUCUGUCCCCUCAUCGAGAUGUGGACUGGGAUACUCGAGAAGAACAAGAGAAUGGCUGACGCUGAUGGCUUGCAAAGGAAACCUGAGAUUACAGAGACUCUGGAAGUCUCUUGUAUUAGACAUUCAACCAGAAUCUCUGCAAGCUGAAAACUCGGACUUCAACAGCCCUUAAGCAAGGAACUCAGACCCAAGAGACAAGGCAGGUAGUGAAACAAAAGACCAGAGAUACCACACAGUACAAAAUAGUAAUUAUUUAUAUUUUCAAAAAGAAAAAUUAACAUUUGGAAGUUCUCCCCUGCAGGAAGAGGGGCUAGUCAGAAGGAACAGAACGGCUCCUAUGCAGGCGGCAAGUCAGGUACAAACAGCGGAGCAAUCAGGGCUGGGGUUUUGUCACAUGGCAUUAAUGACAACAUUUCCUUUCUCUUCUUUUGUUCUGUUUGUGCUGUGUGUGUGUUGUGUGUGUGUGCGCUGUUUUUUAGAAAAAGGGUGAGGUGGGGGGGAGAGAAAUAAAAUCAGAGAAAAAUGCCAAAAAACAUUUUCCACAAUAUCUAAAAACAGAGAACCAUAGUUCUUGUCAAGACAGUAUGAAUUCUGGAUGAGUUAUUUUUUCCAGUUUUCAACACCAAUAAAGAUUUUUGCAAAAGCCACCACAUCAGAACACGCAUUUUCCAGAUCAAAUAACCUCCUUCCCCUUUCCCCUUCACUUGUCAUUUUUCAUAAAUGGAUAAAAGGACGUAUUCUGUUCUUGCAAACAGUAAGUGCUAACAACGAGAGCUCUUCUGAUACUUGUAGGUGGUGAGAAGCUGUCAUAAACAGUCAAGUUGGAAGGACUAACAUUUGUUUCUCUCAAGAUAAAUACUAUUGGAAUCCACAAACUGAUUUUUGGGAAAUUCUGCAAAAAUCCUUUCUUCUUUCCUUUUCCCUUCUCUUAAAACUCCAUGUCCUUUCUUUCUUUUUUUUUUUUCCUUUUUGCUCCAGGCACCUGACGAUUUGUUCUGCUCAGUCAGAUGCAGACAAGUUUCUCCGAAGUACCACCGCUGGGAUGUCCUCGGGGCCAGCGCCUAAACUGCAUCCCCAUAGUAUCAAACCUGGCCAGGCCAAGGGAACACAGUGACGCAGCAACA